Molecule: ribosomal RNA, 497 nt
Filed under: uncultured bacterium
Lineage: Bacteria
Description: partial 16S ribosomal RNA
Rfam family: Bacterial small subunit ribosomal RNA
Source: RNAcentral
GAUGAACGCUGGCGGCGUGCCUAAUACAUGCAAGUCGAGCGAACGGACGAGAAGCUUGCUGCUCUGAUGUGAGCGGCGGACGGGUGAGCAACACGAGUAUAACGUACCUAUAAGAGGGGGAUAAUUUCGGGAAACCGGAGCUAAUAGCGGAGAAGAUUCUGAAGCGCAUGGGUCAAAGGUAAAAUACGGUGGUUGUGGCACGAAUAGAGGGAUCCGCGCUGCAUUAGCUAGUUGGUAAGGUAACGGCUUACCAAGGCAACGAGGCAUAGCCGACCUGAGAGGGUGAUCGGCCACACUGGAGCUGAGACACCGUCCAGACUACUACGGGAGGCAGCAGUAGGGAAUCUUCCGCAAUAGGCGAGAGUCUGACGGAGCGACGCCGCGUGAGUGAUGACGGUCUUCGGAUCGUAAAACUCUGUUAUUAGGGAAGAACAGAUGUGUAAGUAGCUGUGCACAUCUUGACGGUACCGAAUCAGAAAGCCACGGCUAACUACGUG